This 237-nucleotide long non-coding RNA is filed under the name Physcomitrium patens. RNAcentral describes it as "long non-coding RNA (PPAT_LNC012473)". The record is from RNAcentral. Lineage: Eukaryota; Viridiplantae; Streptophyta; Bryopsida; Funariales; Funariaceae.
UUUAAAUGAAGUGGAUUUGAAUACUCUUGACUGUUUUGUAAAAUCGAGUUACGUCUGUGACUGAAGGAUUAAAGGGGUGUCUAUAGGAUUGAGUAUGCGGAGUGAAUAAAAUUUAUUGGGUUCAUCUAACAGGACAGUCAGUGGAUACAAGAUCGUGAGUACAAAGGGGUAUUGAAGAUUAACAGUUUGGGUUGUUCGGGGUUCUCUGUAACGUCUAGAGACCUAUCGGCUGGAAAA